GGGCUGCAGUAGGGAAUAUUGCGCAAUGGGCGAAAGCCUGACGCAGCGACGCCGCGUGGGUGAUGAAGCUCUUUGGAGCGUAAAACCCUGUCAGUGGGGAAGAACCGCUUGUGGAGUAACUGCCACAGGUCUGACGGUACCCACAAAGGAAGCUCCGGCUAACUCCGUGCCAGCAGCCGCGGUAAUACGGGGGGAGCGAGCGUUGUUCGGAUUUACUGGGCGUAAAGGGCGUGUAGGCGGAUUCUCAAGUCAAAUGUGAAAACCAGCGGCUUAACCGCUGGCCUGCAUUUGAUACUGUGAAUCUUGAGUACGGGAGAGGAAAGCGGAAUUCCUGGUGUAGCGGUGAAAUGCGUAGAUAUCAGGAGGAACACCGGUGGCGAAGGCGGCUUUCUGGCCCGAUACUGACGCUGAGGCGCGAAGGCCGGGGGAGCAAACAGGAUUAGAUACCCCGGUAGUC
This 457-nucleotide ribosomal RNA is filed under the name uncultured microorganism. RNAcentral's name for it is "bacterial SSU rRNA". It matches the Rfam family "Bacterial small subunit ribosomal RNA", at positions 346 to 795 of the family's 1533-position model. The record is from RNAcentral.